RNAcentral lists this ribosomal RNA (655 nucleotides) under Burkholderia sp. UFLA01-753. RNAcentral describes it as "bacterial SSU rRNA". It matches the Rfam family "Bacterial small subunit ribosomal RNA", at positions 124 to 774 of the family's 1533-position model. Lineage: Bacteria; Pseudomonadati; Pseudomonadota; Betaproteobacteria; Burkholderiales; Burkholderiaceae. The record is from RNAcentral.
ACAUGUCCAGUAGUGGGGGAUAGCCCGGCGAAAGCCGGAUUAAUACCGCAUACGAUCUUUGGAUGAAAGCGGGGGAUCGCAAGACCUCGCGCUAUUGGGGUGGCCGAUGGCGGAUUAGCUAGUUGGUGGGGUAAAGGCCCACCAAGGCGACGAUCCGUAGCUGGUCUGAGAGGACGACCAGCCACACUGGGACUGAGACACGGCCCAGACUCCUACGGGAGGCAGCAGUGGGGAAUUUUGGACAAUGGGCGAAAGCCUGAUCCAGCAAUGCCGCGUGUGUGAAGAAGGCCUUCGGGUUGUAAAGCACUUUUGUCCGGAAAGAAAUCCUGAUGGCUAAUAUCCGUCGGGGAUGACGGUACCGGAAGAAUAAGCACCGGCUAACUACGUGCCAGCAGCCGCGGUAAUACGUAGGGUGCGAGCGUUAAUCGGAAUUACUGGGCGUAAAGCGUGCGCAGGCGGUGAUGUAAGACCGAUGUGAAAUCCCCGGGCUUAACCUGGGAACUGCAUUGGUGACUGCAUCGCUGGAGUAUGGCAGAGGGGGGUAGAAUUCCACGUGUAGCAGUGAAAUGCGUAGAGAUGUGGAGGAAUACCGAUGGCGAAGGCAGCCCCCUGGGCCAAUACUGACGCUCAUGCACGAAAGCGUGGGGAGCAAACA